Podarcis lilfordi (Lilford's wall lizard) is the source of this 91-nucleotide non-coding RNA. Lineage: Eukaryota; Metazoa; Chordata; Lepidosauria; Squamata; Lacertidae. The record is from the annotation of a GenBank genome assembly.
GUGGCAGUGGCAGGAGGGGGAGCAGCCACUGAAGCUGUGCCAUGCUCGGCUCCACAAUCAACCUCCUCUUCCUCCUCCUGCCACCACCACU